CAGCAAGUAUGUACUUCUUAUGUCCCCCCAUAAGUCUACUAUAUGCAACUGUGCUUGAUAGAGGAACGACACCACCAUUGCGGCCUUGUGGUUCAGACAGCUCUAUGCAAUCAUUGUUCCCUUGAAUAUGAUCACAUAUAUAAUCCCUUAAGUAUUCUGGUGGCCUCUUUGUCCUCAUUGAUUUUCUCCUUGGAAUCUCAUCGUCAUUCAUAUGGUUUUCUCUUUUUUCUACUUCCCCAUAAAUUAUUUCUUGAUUGUUAAAUACCUCUUCUAUCUGUGUGAGGUCUCUAACCUCCAUA
RNAcentral lists this long non-coding RNA (299 nucleotides) under Carica papaya (papaya). RNAcentral's name for it is "long non-coding RNA (CPAP_LNC004610)". The record is from RNAcentral. Lineage: Eukaryota; Viridiplantae; Streptophyta; Magnoliopsida; Brassicales; Caricaceae.